CAGUAGCCGCGGUAAUCCGGAGGGGGCUAGCGUUGUUCGGAAUUACUGGGCGUAAAGCGCACGUAGGCUGCUUUGUAAGUUAGAGGUGAAAGCCUGGUGCUCAACACCAGAACUGCCUCUAAGACUGCAGAGCUAGAACGUCGGAGAGGUGAGUGGAAUUCCGAGUGUAGAGGUGAAAUUCGUAGAUAUUCGGAAGAACACCAGUGGCGAAGGCGGCUCACUGGACGACUGUUGACGCUGAGGUGCGAAAGCGUGGGGAGCAAACAGGAUUAGAUACCCCUGUAGUCCCUGUCUCUUAUAA
RNAcentral lists this ribosomal RNA (301 nucleotides) under uncultured bacterium. RNAcentral describes it as "partial 16S ribosomal RNA". It matches the Rfam family "Bacterial small subunit ribosomal RNA", at positions 509 to 809 of the family's 1533-position model. The record is from RNAcentral.